Labrus bergylta (ballan wrasse) is the source of this 83-nucleotide non-coding RNA. The record is from the annotation of a RefSeq genome assembly. Lineage: Eukaryota; Metazoa; Chordata; Actinopteri; Labriformes; Labridae.
GGUAGUGUGGCCGAGUGGUCUAAGGCACUGGAUUUAGGCUCCAGUCUCUCAGGAGGCGUGGGUUCAAAAUCCCACCACUGCCA